AGGGCUUUGAUGAAGCUUACCCGAAAGGGCAGUACAGUUGCGAGCUUGCCCCGCAAGGGCACGCGCUGAAGCAGCAAAAUUCCAAUGGAUCCUUCUGAGCUCU
This 103-nucleotide small nucleolar RNA is filed under the name Chlamydomonas reinhardtii. RNAcentral describes it as "CrCD13c snoRNA". Lineage: Eukaryota; Viridiplantae; Chlorophyta; Chlorophyceae; Chlamydomonadales; Chlamydomonadaceae. The record is from RNAcentral.